Molecule: transfer RNA, 73 nt
Filed under: Hofstenia miamia
Lineage: Eukaryota; Metazoa; Xenacoelomorpha; Acoela; Hofsteniidae
Description: tRNA-Val for anticodon AAC
Rfam family: tRNA
About the family: Transfer RNA (tRNA) molecules are approximately 80 nucleotides in length. Their secondary structure includes four short double-helical elements and three loops (D, anti-codon, and T loops).
Source: RNAcentral
GGCACCAUGGUGUAGUGGUUAUCACAUCUGCCUAACUCGCAGAAUGUCCCCAGUUCGAGCCUGCGUGGUGUCA